GACGAACGCUGGCGGCGUGCUUAACACAUGCAAGUCGAACGGAAAGGCCCUGCUUUUGUGGGGUGCUCGAGUGGCGAACGGGUGAGUAACACGUGAGUAACCUGCCCUUGACUUUGGGAUAACUUCAGGAAACUGGGGCUAAUACCGGAUAGGAGCUCCUGCUGCAUGGUGGGGGUUGGAAAGUUUCGGCGGUUGGGGAUGGACUCGCGGCUUAUCAGCUUGUUGGUGGGGUAGUGGCUUACCAAGGCUUUGACGGGUAGCCGGCCUGAGAGGGUGACCGGCCACAUUGGGACUGAGAUACGGCCCAGGCUCCUACGGGGGGCAGCAGUGGGGAAUAUUGCACAAUGGGCGGAAGCCUGAUGCAGCAACGCCGCGUGCGGGAUGACGGCCUUCGGGUUGUAAACCGCUUUCGCCUGUGACGAAGCGUGAGUGACGGUAAUGGGUAAAGAAGCACCGGCUAACUACGUGC
This 469-nucleotide ribosomal RNA is filed under the name uncultured bacterium. Its description in RNAcentral is "partial 16S ribosomal RNA". It matches the Rfam family "Bacterial small subunit ribosomal RNA", at positions 28 to 508 of the family's 1533-position model. The record is from RNAcentral.